Cricetulus griseus (Chinese hamster) is the source of this 189-nucleotide non-coding RNA. Lineage: Eukaryota; Metazoa; Chordata; Mammalia; Rodentia; Cricetidae. The record is from Rfam.
GGGGUUGAGGGGGGCAGCCUCAGCAACAUCUGUCACUCCAUUGCUUGUCAGGAUUAUUUAGCUGAUUUGUCUGACUGGGCAGGUGUCCCCUCUCUCCCUCAGUGCUCCAUGUGCAUCCCUCUUGAAGCUUCGCACUCUGUUGAAGAGGACACUCAUCCCAGGUAGAGGGGGGAUGGGAAACUGGGCCAA